CGUAGGGUGCAAGCGUUGUCCGGAAUUAUUGGGCGUAAAGAGCUCGUAGGCGGUUAGUCGCGUCUGCUGUGAAAACUCGGGGCUUAACCCCGGGCCUGCAGUGGGUACGGGCUGACUAGAGUGCGGUAGGGGAGACUGGAAUUCCUGGUGUAGCGGUGAAAUGCGCAGAUAUCAGGAGGAACACCGGUGGCGAAGGCGGGUCUCUGGGCCGUAACUGACGCUGAGGAGCGAAAGCGUGGGGAGCGAACAGGAUUAGAUACCCUGGUAGUCCACGCCGUAAACGUUGGGCGCUAGGUGUGGGGUCCGUUCCACGGGUUCCGUGCCGCAGCUAACGCAUUAAGCGCCCCGCCUGGGGAGUACGGCCGCAAGGCUA
Molecule: ribosomal RNA, 373 nt
Filed under: uncultured organism
Description: bacterial SSU rRNA
Rfam family: Bacterial small subunit ribosomal RNA
Source: RNAcentral